This 500-nucleotide ribosomal RNA is filed under the name uncultured bacterium. Its description in RNAcentral is "partial 16S ribosomal RNA". It matches the Rfam family "Bacterial small subunit ribosomal RNA", at positions 30 to 523 of the family's 1533-position model. The record is from RNAcentral.
AUUGAACGCUGGCGGAAUGCUUUACACAUGCAAGUCGAACGGCAGCACGGACUUCGGUCUGGUGGCGAGUGGCGAACGGGUGAGUAAUGUAUCGGAACGUGCCCAGUCGUGGGGGAUAACGUAGUGAAAAUUACGCUAAUACCGCAUACGAUCUAUGGAUGAAAGCGGGGGAUCGCAAGACCUCGCGCGAUUGGAGCGGCCGAUAUCAGAUUAGGUAGUUGGUGGGGUAAAGGCCCACCAAGCCAACGAUCUGUAGCUGGUCUGAGAGGACGACCAGCCACACUGGAACUGAGGCACGGUCCAGACUCCCACGGGAGGCAGCAGUGGGGAAUUUUGGACAAUGGGCGAAAGCCUGAUCCAGCCAUUCCGCGUGCAGGAUGAAGGCCCUCGGGUUGUAAACUGCUUUUGUACAGAACGAAAAGGUUUCUACUAAUACUAGGAGCUCAUGACGGUACUGUAAGAAUAAGCACCGGCUAACUACGUGCCAGCAGCCGCCGUAA